Molecule: long non-coding RNA, 1124 nt
Filed under: Homo sapiens (human)
Lineage: Eukaryota; Metazoa; Chordata; Mammalia; Primates; Hominidae
Description: non-protein coding lnc-SMIM15-6:1
Source: RNAcentral
GCAUUACAUACAUGCAUGAAUAAUUUAUAGGCCCAUGUGUAGCUUUGAGUUCUCUGUGGUAUAAAAGGAUUAGCAGAUUUGAAGACAGAUGCAACAAAAAGUGAUUCCUGUACUACAUAUAUGAUUGCAUAUACGUAUUGCAUAUAUGCAAUGCUACAUAUAUGGUAAAGUGGUCCAAAAAGUGCUGACAAAGCAUUCAUACCUUCCAGGGUAUAAAAGUUUGAAAAAAAGGACCAAGACAAAUUCAUUUUCUAUAACUCUUUACAAAAUCAUACUGUGGUACAAGGCAAUCAAAAAUUCAUUGAAUUUUUGCUAUUUAAAAAAUUUCAUUAAUUUAUUUAUUUAUGGUUUUGAGAUAGGAAGUCUCACCCUGUUUCCUAGGCUGGUCUUGAACUCUUGGGUUCAAGGGAUCCUCCUGCCUCGGCCUCCCAAGGUGCUGAGACUACAGGCGUGAGCCACCAUGUCUGGCCACUAUUUACUACCAGUAUUAAAAUUUCUACCAUUUUUACACAGAGGCACUAUUUCCACUUAGGCUGUGUGUCAAAUCUGCAUUUACAGGCUAAGUGAGGAACUUAGCUACUAUUUAUAGUAUUAAUUACAUGAUAAUCUGUGUAAGCUCCCAACAAUCAUCUUACAAAUGAAUUCUACAGAAUACAACCUUUUUAUUAUCAAAAGGAAGUUACAUGUUUAUUAAUUAGUAUCACAAUAAACAGGUAUUAUUAAUACUAUUUUAUGGAUAUAGGAAUCUAGGCACAAAAAUAAAGUUUCCUUGACCCACAUAAUGAGAUAAAAUAUGAACCCAGAACUAGAGAUUACAUCAGAUUCCUAUACACCUAUAUUCAUUAACAGUACAACUCUACAACUGUGGCAUAGUCCUACAACAGAAUAUUAAAACCUAGAGAUAAAAAAAAAAAUAAAAAAAAAUUGGUCCAACUUUCUGUCUGAAGGCAGGAAUUAUUAUUAUCUGCUUAUUACAGAGAGUGGAGAAUUAGUUGGUCAAGGGCAAAUCUAAAAAUUUAGGAAAACUUCAAAUUCAAAGCCUCCAGAAACUCAUCAAACUUGCCAGUAUUACUUACCCUACUUCAAGAAGACAUAUAUGAAACAGAAUGGAGUUUCUGAUUUCA